CGUCUCCAUAAUGCUGUGGAAGGAUACAGAAUUGCUGCUUCUGUUUAUUUUUCCAUUGAUUUCAGCCCAGAACUCUGAACUACCUGCAGUAAUGGACAGUGACAUUCUCACCGAAUUUGCUUACCAAGCUGGGCCAUCGCACUUGAGUCUGAUCCUGCUGGCUCUGACCGUGGGACUGUCCGGCAGCGUUUACCUCUGUGUGCUGCGGUACAUUUGCACCGGCUGCUGCCAGCCUGUAGUUGUCGGACCUGAAGAUGAGAGCAUGUCAGGUGUGGUGUGAUAGAAGCUUUUGUUUGAAAGAGAGUGUGCAUUCAUGACUGUGAGAUUGGUAUGUGUGUUCAAGCACUUAUGUUGGUCUUCUUUAGUGCUGAAAUAGACAUCAAUGUUCAGGCGUUCACAAGGCGUUGCCAUAUUUAAGUUAUAUGGUUGAAAACAGUGGAAAUCUGGUCAAAUAUUCCUGUUAUUUUCAAAAUAAAACCGCAACGUUUCAAUCAGAGAUCACUGAAAAUCUCUGAUUAAAAUGUUAUUGUUUUAUUUUAGUUGAACAGUGCAGAUUUUUGGUGCAGUUUUCCAUUUCGGUCGUGCACCUGUUGAAGAUGUUUUGGAUGUGCGUAUUUCCCCCUCUUUUCUAUUUAAGUAUUACACAUUGGUUGAGGAAUGCCCCUAUGUUUUUAUGUUCCCAUGUUCCUUAUGAAAUACUUAAAUAUAAAUCACACUUUUUCAUUCAUGUAACAGAGUGUAAGGGUCAUCUAAAGGACAUCAGAAUGUUUGAGAAUUUGUAUAAUAAAUAGCUUAUCGCUUGUUACUCACUUGAGAUAAAAGCAUCUGCCAAAUGACUACUUGUAAAUGUGAAAUUCACAGCUCUAAAGCCUGACUGUAUGUUGGCAGUAAAAUAAUUCAUUUAGCAUCUACGGAGACAAGCAUUUGACUAUACGGAUGACGCAAGUGUUGACCGAAUGAGAGGGAGGAGUAAACCAUUUUAGCAGGUUUGGAUGGAUGCUCUGUCAGUCAAGAGAAAUCGCUCACAAAUCCGCUGCAAUACCACACACUGUACUUUAAAUGAAUGUAUUAAGAGCUUUUGUAAAAACAAGGUAAAACAAUUAUCAAGCCAUUUGAAACCAAAUAUUAUUUUCAUGUCAACAUCUCUUGUUUAAUUAAGUAGGAUGCUCCCUGAGGAAGUGAUCAGUCAGUUGCAGAAACUGUUGCCAAGGGCUACUGCUGGAUCUAGUUGCCAUGGAAAUAGUUGCAUCUGUUUUCCUCUAGAUGGGGCUGUCACAUCAGCUGUUCAGCUCACCUAUCUGCAAGUAUUCAAAAUAUCUGCUACUUUAGAUGUUAUAGAACAGUUUAAUGUUGUGUGUUUUCUAGUGUCAAACAUAUUCAUUUUCAUUGCAAAUGCAUUGUCUUUGUGCAUAUGGAUAUCACACCA
Molecule: long non-coding RNA, 1426 nt
Filed under: Sinocyclocheilus grahami
Lineage: Eukaryota; Metazoa; Chordata; Actinopteri; Cypriniformes; Cyprinidae
Description: lncRNA (ENSSGRG00000047149.1)
Source: RNAcentral